GAUGAACGCUGGCGGCGUGCCUAAUACAUGCAAGUCGAGCGAACGGACGAGAAGCUUGCUUCUCUGAUGUUAGCGGCGGACGGGUGAGUAACACGUGGAUAACCUACCUAUAAGACUGGGAUAACUUCGGGAAACCGUAGCUAAUACCGGAUAAUAUUUUGAACCGCAUGGUUCAAAAGUGAAAGACGGUCUUGCUGUCACUUAUAGAUGGAUCCGCGCUGCAUUAGCUAGUUGGUAAGGUAACGGCUUACCAAGGCAACGAUGCAUAGCCGACCUGAGAGGGUGAUCGGCCACACUGGAACUGAGACACGGUCCGGACUCCUACGGGAGGCAGCAGUAGGGAAUCUUCCGCAAUGGGCGAAAGCCUGACGGAGCAACGCCGCGUGAGUGAUGAAGGUCUUCGGACCGUAAAACUCUGUUAUUAGGGAAGAACAUAUGUGUAAGUAACUGUGCACAUCUUGACGGUACCUAAUCAGAAAGCCACGGCUAACUACGUG
Molecule: ribosomal RNA, 497 nt
Filed under: uncultured bacterium
Lineage: Bacteria
Description: partial 16S ribosomal RNA
Rfam family: Bacterial small subunit ribosomal RNA
Source: RNAcentral